UCCGGUUUGACACCGGCAGUCUCCCAUGAGUCCCCGCACAAGCGGUGGAGCAUGUGGCUUAAUUCGAUGCAACGCGAAGAACCUUACCCGGGCUAAAUCUCUGGUGACCGCCCCCGAAACGGGGCUUCCCUUCGGGGCGCCAGGGAAGGUGCUGCAUGGCUGUCGUCAGCUCGUGCCGUGAGGUGUUGCCUUAAGUGGCGCAACGAGCGCAACCCCUGUGGUUAGUUACCAGCACGUUAAGGUGGGGACUCUAGCCAGACUGCCUACGCAAGUAGUGAGGAAGGUGGGGAUGACGUCCUUGCUAGGUAA
This 309-nucleotide unclassified non-coding RNA is filed under the name uncultured Bacteroidota bacterium. RNAcentral's name for it is "uncultured Bacteroidetes bacterium contains 16S-23S intergenic spacer region". The stretch from base 33 to 309 matches the Rfam family "Bacterial small subunit ribosomal RNA", at positions 920 to 1196 of the family's 1533-position model. Lineage: Bacteria; Pseudomonadati; Bacteroidota. The record is from RNAcentral.